CUCCUCCUCGGGCCUUGCCGGGCCUCUCCCGCGUCACGUGACCGCUCGGCGCCCCGCCCGCGUGACACGCACCGCCCCCUGAGCGCCGGGGGCGAGGGCAGGGGGCGGGAGGCGCUCCUCAGGCCGGGAUCGCUUCCCCCGGGAUCCCCGGCCCUUGGGCAGCCUCCCCUGCCCCGGGCUCCCUUCCCCUUGCGGGGGUGAGGCAGGCUCCUGUUCCUCUGGACAGGCUUCUCUCGGGAGAUUCGAACUCCUCGAGCAAUGGAAUUUCUUGAAUGUCAUCAAAAGAAGUCAGACCCAGAUGUGGACUGUUCCUGCUUGAUAUUCCAGGAGUGAAGCUAGCUUUCUGUAGUUUCCCAUGCUGCAGUGAGAGAAGGAGUAAAAACUAAGGGUAAAUGUAAAUUGGACAAACUCUUUAAAUCUUCUGCAGUUAUGAAGAAACAAAGAAUGACAUCAGGCUUAAAAAUCUCUGCCUAGAUCAGCUGAGAAACCUCUUGCUAAAACCAAUGUUUUGCCCACCAAAUUUGAGAAUUGUGGUCAUUUGUAAUUGCAAAUAACCCAGCCACGCUAGUUGGGGCUCUCAAUUUUUUUAGCUUUAUUACUGGUUAUACACAGCAAGUCAGCUGUGCCUCAGCAAAACUGGAUGACAGGAAUCCACCAACUUAAAAGGAGGAUUGCAUUAUGCAUAAAAGGGAAAAACC
Long non-coding RNA from Poecile atricapillus (Black-capped chickadee), 698 nucleotides. RefSeq lists it as uncharacterized. The transcript has 3 exons. NCBI's taxonomy places the organism in Eukaryota, Metazoa, Chordata, Aves, Passeriformes, Paridae. The record is from RefSeq and is a predicted model, not a curated record.